Molecule: ribosomal RNA, 1372 nt
Filed under: uncultured bacterium
Lineage: Bacteria
Description: bacterial SSU rRNA
Rfam family: Bacterial small subunit ribosomal RNA
Source: RNAcentral
GAUGAACGCUGGCGGCGUGCCUAAUACAUGCAAGUCGAGCGAACGGACGAGAAGCUUGCUUCUCUGAUGUUAGCGGCGGACGGGUGAGUAACACGUGGAUAACCUACCUAUAAGACUGGGAUAACUUCGGGAAACCGGAGCUAAUACCGGAUAAUAUUUUGAACCGCAUGGUUCAAAAGUGAAAGACGGUCUUGCUGUCACUUAUAGAUGGAUCCGCGCUGCAUUAGCUAGUUGGUAAGGUAACGGCUUACCAAGGCAACGAUGCAUAGCCGACCUGAGAGGGUGAUCGGCCACACUGGAACUGAGACACGGUCCAGACUCCUACGGGAGGCAGCAGUAGGGAAUCUUCCGCAAUGGGCGAAAGCCUGACGGAGCAACGCCGCGUGAGUGAUGAAGGUCUUCGGAUCGUAAAACUCUGUUAUUAGGGAAGAACAUAUGUGUAAGUAACUGUGCACAUCUUGACGGUACCUAAUCAGAAAGCCACGGCUAACUACGUGCCAGCAGCCGCGGUAAUACGUAGGUGGCAAGCGUUAUCCGGAAUUAUUGGGCGUAAAGCGCGCGUAGGCGGUUUUUUAAGUCUGAUGUGAAAGCCCACGGCUCAACCGUGGAGGGUCAUUGGAAACUGGAAAACUUGAGUGCAGAAGAGGAAAGUGGAAUUCCAUGUGUAGCGGUGAAAUGCGCAGAGAUAUGGAGGAACACCAGUGGCGAAGGCGACUUUCUGGUCUGUAACUGACGCUGAUGUGCGAAAGCGUGGGGAUCAAACAGGAUUAGAUACCCUGGUAGUCCACGCCGUAAACGAUGAGUGCUAAGUGUUAGGGGGUUUCCGCCCCUUAGUGCUGCAGCUAACGCAUUAAGCACUCCGCCUGGGGAGUACGACCGCAAGGUUGAAACUCAAAGGAAUUGACGGGGACCCGCACAAGCGGUGGAGCAUGUGGUUUAAUUCGAAGCAACGCGAAGAACCUUACCAAAUCUUGACAUCCUUUGACAACUCUAGAGAUAGAGCCUUCCCCUUCGGGGGACAAGGUGACAGGUGGUGCAUGGUUGUCGUCAGCUCGUGUCGUGAGAUGUUGGGUUAAGUCCCGCAACGAGCGCAACCCUUAAGCUUAGUUGCCAUCAUUAAGUUGGGCACUCUAAGUUGACUGCCGGUGACAAACCGGAGGAAGGUGGGGAUGACGUCAAAUCAUCAUGCCCCUUAUGAUUUGGGCUACACACGUGCUACAAUGGACAAUACAAAGGGCAGCGAAACCGCGAGGUCAAGCAAAUCCCAUAAAGUUGUUCUCAGUUCGGAUUGUAGUCUGCAACUCGACUACAUGAAGCUGGAAUCGCUAGUAAUCGUAGAUCAGCAUGCUACGGUGAAUACGUUCCCGGGUCU